CUGUUUAACGGCCGCGGUAUCCUAACCGUGCGAAGGUAGCGUAAUCACUUGUUCUUUAAAUGAGGACUAGUAUGAACGGCUUCACGAGAGCUAUUCUGUCUCCUUUAUUUAAUCAGUUAAACUAAUCUUCCCGUGAAGAAGCGGGAAUAUUAAUAUAAGACGAGAAGACCCUGUGGAGCUUUAAACACUUCAGAACACUUGAUUUUUUCCGUUAAAAAUUUCCAAAACCUUUACUAAGCCUAUCAUAUUGUUUUAAGUUUUAGGUUGGGGUGACCACGGAGAUAAACCUAACCUCCACGUAGAAAGAAACUUAUUUCUAAGCAAAAAGCCACAUCUUUAUGCAUCAAUACAUUGACUUUAAUUGACCCAUUUACUUGAUCAACGAACCAAGUUACCCCAGGGAUAACAGCGCAAUCCGCCUUAAGAGCUCCUAUCGACAGGCGGGCUUACGACCUCGAUGUUGGAUCAGGGUGUCCUGGUGGUGCAGCAGCUACUAACGGUUCGUUUGUUCAACGAUUAAA
Molecule: ribosomal RNA, 521 nt
Filed under: Allobates sp. n. LM-2020
Lineage: Eukaryota; Metazoa; Chordata; Amphibia; Anura; Aromobatidae
Description: partial large subunit ribosomal RNA
Rfam family: Bacterial large subunit ribosomal RNA
Source: RNAcentral